Molecule: ribosomal RNA, 254 nt
Filed under: uncultured bacterium
Lineage: Bacteria
Description: partial 16S ribosomal RNA
Rfam family: Bacterial small subunit ribosomal RNA
Source: RNAcentral
UACGAAGGGGGCUAGCGUUGUUCGGAAUCACUGGGCGUAAAGCGCACGUAGGCGGGUCGUUAAGUCAGGGGUGAAAUCCCGAGGCUCAACCUCGGAACUGCCUUUGAUACUGGCGACCUUUGAGUCCGGGAGAGGUGAGUGGAACUCCGAGUGUAGAGGUGAAAUUCGUAGAUAUCCGGAGGAACACCAGUGGCGAAAGCGGCCACCUGGACUGCACCUGACGCUGACACGCGAAAGCUAGGGGAGCGAACGGG